RNAcentral lists this ribosomal RNA (392 nucleotides) under uncultured bacterium. RNAcentral describes it as "bacterial SSU rRNA". It matches the Rfam family "Bacterial small subunit ribosomal RNA", at positions 29 to 431 of the family's 1533-position model. The record is from RNAcentral.
AUUGAACGCUGGCGGCAUGCCUAACACAUGCAAGUCGAACGCGAAAGUCCUUCGGGGCGAGUAGAGUGGCGGACGGGUGAGUAACGCGUGGGAAUCUGCCCUGCAGUGGGGGACAACCCGGGGAAACCCGGGCUAAUACCGCAUACGUCCUACGGGAGAAAGGGGGCUUCGGCUCUCGCUGCAGGAUGAGCCCACGUCCGAUUAGCUAGUUGGUAGGGUAAAGGCCUACCAAGGCAACGAUCGGUAGCUGGUCUGAGAGGAUGAUCAGCCACACUGGGACUGAGACACGGCCCAGACUCCUACGGGAGGCAGCAGUGGGGAAUAUUGGACAAUGGGCGCAAGCCUGAUCCAGCAAUGCCGCGUGUGUGAAGAAGGCCUGCGGGUUGUAAAGC